Molecule: long non-coding RNA, 1355 nt
Filed under: Durio zibethinus
Lineage: Eukaryota; Viridiplantae; Streptophyta; Magnoliopsida; Malvales; Malvaceae
Description: long non-coding RNA (DZIB_LNC001108)
Source: RNAcentral
AUAUUUAAAUUAUUUAAAUUAUUUAAAUAUUUAUAUCAAAAUUAUUUAUAUGGUGUCUUAAAUUAUGUUCGACACCAAACACAUAUGCAAAUUAUCAAAAUUGGUCUUCAACAUAGUUAAAUGGCAAUUAAUUGCCGUAGUAAUUGAAAGGGAACGAAUGACUUUGGCAAAAAGAGCUAUCAACUCAUAUUUAAUGAGUUUUUUUUCCUGUACUAAGGUGGAUUGAAAUUUUUAUUCCUAAAUUAGGGUUCUUUUAAACUUUUUUCUCUAAGUGGGAUAUUUAAACCACGUCAUCAUUAUAUCACUCCUUAGAUGGGUAAAAUUUCCAAAUCGACUGAAUUUUUCUUCUCAAUAAAAUUGCAUUUAAAGCAUUCAGCUCUGUCUUCAAAUCAUACAGAAGAUUUUUCUCUUUCUCUUUGAACCAACAUAUUAACAAUCAUAAAUAGGUUUUUUUACAUACGCUCGAUAUGUGACUUGUAGUUGAUACCGCUGAAAGUAUGAACUAGGGGUAGUUUUAAACAAUGAGGCAGCAGAUACCGGCAUAGGCGUGGCUUCCCUGAGUACUGGAAGCUGAUAUUUUUUCCCCUAUUUCUUAUACUUUGUGUUUCUUUGCUCUUCGUCUCACUCAUCUCAGCCAUAAGCUCUACAUCUUGUUAAGAAUCAUCAAUUCUUAUAAAUGCUACCACUUGGUUUUCGUUAUUGACAGCUGUAGCUUCAAUUAAAAAGGUUGUUACAUAUGACUAAUUUUCCAACCUUUUGUUUUUAUAUGUUUGUCAGCUUAGUUAAAAAUGUGUGUAGCUGCAUCUGUAAUAUUGUACUAUGAGUGUUGUGUGAAAAACACCUUGUAACUAUUGUGUAAGUGUUGCGGGGAGUCUCUCUUGAGCGCUAGAAGCUUUUUUUGUAUGUACUAAGGGUAUUGUCUUCGCAAUGUUUGAUAAAAUGGCUAAAUGAAUGUAUAGCACAUUAUAUUUGCAGUUUACUAAUAUGCUCAAUGUUGAGAAUUGUGUUAUUUUUUGAAACCAUAUAAAAUAUGUAAAGUUAACAAAGAUCAAGACUAACCAACAUAAAAUAUCUCAUAGUAGUGGUAUUGAGGCUUCCUUUUUAAGGGAUUUUACUUCAAAGAGUAGAAUCAAAAUCCUUUUCUAAUAAAACAAUUGCUUCAAAACUUGUUAUCAAUAUUUGAGCAUAAACUUCAGAACUUGCGUUUAUACGGGUAGUCUGCUCAAAUCUCCCAACAUGUUUCAAUUCACCAUACUUCAAUUAUAGUCUCACUGAAUUGAGUUUAAAUAUCGCUGCCUCCAUUCUUCCCUUUUUUAGCAUUUGCAAUUUGAAAUUGAACCAAAAAAUUAUUAAAA